AUGGCGUCCGCCUGCGCGCUCACCACCAUAGCCAUCCUCGCCGCGAUCCUCUUCUACGUCCUCCUGCUGCUCAGCCGCACCAUGGAGCUGCGCUUCGCGGCCAGCUAUGCCAUGGUCGACUGCGCACCGCCCCCUUCCUCGGACGACGGCGCCGCUGCCUUCCGCGGCACCCUCCUGCCGCUCCUGGCCGCGCUGCCCGCAGCCGCCGCGCCGACGGGGUUCGCGUCCCUGCAGUCCGGCGGCGGCGCGUUCGCCCGCGGCCUCUGCCUGGGCGAUCCCGCGCCGCAAGACUGCCUGGCGUGCCUCGCCGCGGCCGCCAAGAAGCUCGCCGGCUGCGGCGCUAGCAGGCGCGCCGGCGUCUGGAGGAGCGAGGGCUGCUUCCUGGCCUACGCCGACGGCAACACCUCCUCCGCGCACGAGGACGCGUUCCGCGACGUCAUCUCCUUCGGCGAGGAGGUCUACCCCGCCGUCAUCUCCGUCGACGACGGCACGCUGCCCUCCUACCCCAACUGCUUCGACACGCGGGCGCUCGUCGCGCUCGCGCAGUCCCUGGCGGGGCGCGGCGCGGCCAACUGCUCGGGGGCGCGCGUCGUCACCGACGCGGCGGCGCUCUCGAGCAACGCCACCGGGAAGAACGCGGUGAAGCUGCGGGCGCAGUGCGCGAGGGACCGCGCGGCGGCGGCGGAGUGCGCCCGGUGCCUGGGGGACUCGGCGCGGGAGGUGCGGGCGUGCGGCUGGGGCCUCGACGGCGAGCACGAGCGCGUGGCCGACGUGCUCGGCUACAACUGCUUCCUGCGGAUCGAGACCUCCGUCCCACCACGGCCCGUGGCGAAAUAUGUCAAGCAACCUGUGGUUUUGGCCCUGUGCGCCGCCAUACUGCUCGUGCUGGUUGUAACAGCGGUGAUCGCGUGCGUGAGAAAGAAGAGGGGCACCGGGAAUGUGGCAGCAGCAGCAGCAUCAGCAGGUCAGCAAACGAACGCUUCUCCUGCUGCAAACUGA
Molecule: ribosomal RNA, 999 nt
Filed under: Triticum aestivum (bread wheat)
Lineage: Eukaryota; Viridiplantae; Streptophyta; Magnoliopsida; Poales; Poaceae
Description: partial small subunit ribosomal RNA
Source: RNAcentral